AUGAGGCAGACCAUGGGUUCUCAUUGUAAUAGUGUAGAAUGUUGGUUAACUGUGGACUCCCUGGCUGUGUCUCAA
Molecule: microRNA precursor, 75 nt
Filed under: Chlorocebus sabaeus (green monkey)
Lineage: Eukaryota; Metazoa; Chordata; Mammalia; Primates; Cercopithecidae
Also listed under: 2 other names
Description: mir-591 microRNA precursor family
Rfam family: mir-591 microRNA precursor family
Source: Rfam by way of RNAcentral